GAUGAACGCUGGCGGCGUGCUUAACACAUGCAAGUCGAACGGAAAGGCCCGGCUUUUGUGGGGUGGUCGAGUGGCGAACGGGGGAGUAACACGCGAGUAACCUGCCCUUGAAUUUGGGAUAACUUCAGGAAACUGGGGCUAAUACCGGAUAUGAGCUCCUGCAGCAUGGGGGGGGUUGGAAAGUUUCGGUGGUUGGGGAUGGACUCGCGGCUUAUCAGCUUGUUGGGGGGGUUGUGGCUUACCAAGGCUUUGACGGGUAGCCGGCCUAAGGGGGUGACAGGCCACAUAGACCCUGAGGUGCGGCAGCGACUCCUACGGAAGGGAGCAGGGGGGAAUAUUGCCCAAUGGACGGAAGCCUAAUGCAGCAACUCCGCGGGCGGGAUGACGGCCUUAGGAGUGUAAAACACUUUCGCCUGUAACUAAGCGUGAGUGGCGGUAAUGUAUAGAGAAACACCGGGUAACUACGUG
Molecule: ribosomal RNA, 468 nt
Filed under: uncultured bacterium
Lineage: Bacteria
Description: partial 16S ribosomal RNA
Rfam family: Bacterial small subunit ribosomal RNA
Source: RNAcentral